This 213-nucleotide long non-coding RNA is filed under the name Panax ginseng (ginseng). RNAcentral's name for it is "long non-coding RNA (PGIN_LNC016608)". Lineage: Eukaryota; Viridiplantae; Streptophyta; Magnoliopsida; Apiales; Araliaceae. The record is from RNAcentral.
GUACAUUAACUGCUAUAACUGCUAUGUAUGUUUUAACUGCUUACUACUGAAUUAACUCUAUGAACAAUGUAUGUCUGAUUAUGAAUAUAUCAAUGAAGGGGGUCUUUUACUUAUUCCGAUGUGCUUGAAAAGAUUUUUAUGUUUGUCAUAUGCUAAUUCAUGAGCAAUACAAAAUAAAUCAGAAAAGUAUUUGAAAUAAAAAAGGAUCUAUUC